Molecule: ribosomal RNA, 395 nt
Filed under: uncultured bacterium
Lineage: Bacteria
Description: bacterial SSU rRNA
Rfam family: Bacterial small subunit ribosomal RNA
Source: RNAcentral
GAGCGCCCCGCAAGGGGAGCGGCAGACGGGAGAGUAACACGUGGGAACGUACCCUUCAGUUCGGAACAACCCAGGGAAACUUGGGCUAAUACCGGAUACGUCCGUAAGGAGAAAGAUUUAUCGCUGAAGGAUCGGCCCGCGUCUGAUUAGCUUGUUGGUGAGGUAACGGCUCACCAAGGCUACGAUCAGUAGCUGGUCUGAGAGGAUGAUCAGCCUCACUGGGACUGAGACACGGCCCAGACUCCUACGGGAGGCAGCAGUGGGGAAUAUUGGACAAUGGGCGCAAGCCUGAUCCAGCCAUGCCGCGUGGAUGAUGAAGGCCCUAGGGUUGUAAAGUCCUUUCGGCGGGGAAGAUAAUGACGGUACCCGCAGAAGAAGCCCCGGCUAACUUCGUG